UUAAGAGAUAAAUCUAAUUAGAGUUAUUAGAGAAAUAAAAUAACAUGAUUAGGAUUAUUUUUGGAAUUGAAAAAUCAAGAUCAAGAAAUUAGGCAACUCUCAUAUAGUUUAAGGAUCGAGGAUUUAAGGAUAUAUAUCUUGACAAAUACAAUCCUUUAAUUGAUGUGCACUUCUGUUUUCUUUUCAUAAAGACGUAAAAAGUUAAUCAAGAAGGGCAUACUUAUUAGACAUUGGAGUACUAAUAGACAUAUGAAGCAUAGAAACUCCAAAAGCUGGUCUUCUUCUCUCCUUUCUAGAAUUGGAU
This 304-nucleotide long non-coding RNA is filed under the name Phoenix dactylifera (date palm). Its description in RNAcentral is "long non-coding RNA (PDAC_LNC007777)". Lineage: Eukaryota; Viridiplantae; Streptophyta; Magnoliopsida; Arecales; Arecaceae. The record is from RNAcentral.